AUGCAUGCCCCUAAACAGCUACCAAUUGCUGCUAUUGUUGCCUCUAUUUUCUAUCUGAAGUUCAGUUCUAGUGCGGUGACUAGCGAAGCUAGAGAGGUACUGAAUGUUGAUUCGACCAUAACCCUUACGCACACCUUUAAUGUUGCUAGUGGUGGUGUUUAUGUUGUUACUUCGAUCGAGAAGGAAGUAGGAAGGAGAAGGAGAAGGAGCAGACUAGCAACCUUGACGUGGAGGAGAACGAGGAGGCCAAGCAUGCCGCCCAAGGUGCCCCUCAACGAACUGCUCAAGCUCGACAAAGGUUGCAGCAAAAACAAGUUGCCAAAGUCAAAGUCCCUAAAAAGCCUAUUCUUUGCAUCUUCAGUACUCACUCAGGUCCUUGUUGCGAUGAGAGCAGUAGCGGAGCUACAGCCCCAAACCUGGGCGGGCUAG
This 429-nucleotide ribosomal RNA is filed under the name Triticum aestivum (bread wheat). RNAcentral's name for it is "partial small subunit ribosomal RNA". Lineage: Eukaryota; Viridiplantae; Streptophyta; Magnoliopsida; Poales; Poaceae. The record is from RNAcentral.